ACGGCUCAGUAACACGUCGAUAAUCUAACCUUAGGUUUGGGAUAACCCUGGGAAACUGGGGCUAACACCAAAUAGGGGAAUUCUUCUGGAAUGAUUUUUCCCUUAAAAGCAAUGCCUAAGGAUGAGUUGGCGGUGGAUUAGGUUGUUGGUGAGGUAAAGGCUCACCAAGCCGAAGAUCCGUAGGGGCCUUGAGAGAGGUAGCCCCGAGAAGGACACUGAGAUACUGGUCCUAGCCCUACGGGGUGCAGCAGGCGCGAAACCUUUACAAUGCACGCAAGUGUGAUAAGGGAAUCCCGAGUGCUUUGCUUUUUAGUAAGGCUUUUGCCAAGAGUAAAGAUCUUGGCGAAUAAAUGGUGGGCAAGACUGGUGCCAGCAGCCGCGGUAACACCAGCGCCAUGAGUGGCAAUCAUCAUUAUUGGGCCUAAAGCGUCCGUAGCCUGUUUAAUCAGUCUUUUGUGAAAUCGUUUGGCUUAACCUAACGGUGUGCAAAAGGUACAGUUAAACUUGGAACCGGGAGGAGUCAGAGGUAUUCUAAGGGGAGCGGUAAAAUGCUAUAAUCCUUAGAGGACCACCUGUGGCGAAGGCAUCUGACUAGAACGGAUUCGACGGUGAGGGACGAAAGCCAGGGGAACAAACCGGAUUAGAUACCCGGGUAGUCCUGGCUGUAAACUCUGCGAGCUAGGUGUCGCAUAUUCUCCGUGAAUGUGCGGUGUCGAAAUGAAGAUGUUAAGCUCGCCGCCUGGGAAGUAUGGUCGCAAGGCUGAAACUUAAAGGAAUUGGCGGGGGAGCACA
RNAcentral lists this ribosomal RNA (792 nucleotides) under uncultured archaeon. RNAcentral describes it as "bacterial SSU rRNA". It matches the Rfam family "Archaeal small subunit ribosomal RNA", at positions 85 to 880 of the family's 1478-position model. The record is from RNAcentral.